CUGCGACUAUAAUAGAAACGGCCCAUAUUAUGCCCGUCUUUAUGGGGCCGGACUAAUAAUGGAUGAUAAAGCCUUCGGGUAUAACAUGAGAAAAUUAUACUCGUAUACCGAAUCAGUUGAUCUUUUUCUAUAUAAACUAAACCAAACUAGAUUAUUCAUAAUGAAGAAAAACGUGUCACAUGACAAUAUGAAACAAGAGUUCAGUUAGCUUCCUAGAAAGUAGAAACAUUUCUCGAUAAAAAAUGAGUUUGAGGGUUCAGAAUGAUGUUUACUUUCCGGUCCGGUUAAUAAAAUUAAAAAUGAAGGGAAAUGGCUCGAUAGCAAAUAACUAGCACUGUCUCUAACAGCGCACAUCUUCAAAACGAGUACGCUAAGGAGUCUCUCAAUCAAUCCUUUGCGAGAAAGGUUAUGACUAGAAGAAAUACAACAAACACAAAAAAAAUACAAUAAAAAAAAAAAAAAAAAAAAAA
Molecule: long non-coding RNA, 470 nt
Organism: Camelina sativa (false flax)
Lineage: Eukaryota; Viridiplantae; Streptophyta; Magnoliopsida; Brassicales; Brassicaceae
Source: RefSeq, a predicted model, not a curated record